AAGCAUGUGCUUAAAUGACUUGCUGAAUGGGGAGCUUCUUUGCCAGCUAUUUUAAUGAUCUGAAAGAAGAAGAUGUUUGUGUAUUUAUUGAGGUUGGAGAAUGUGGAAAGAAGGUCCUUCUCAUAAGGCAGGAGGAGCCAUGAGAUUGGAGGAGGAGCCAGGACAGAUGUACCCAGAUGGCGUUAGAAGUAUUUGGUUUCAUGGACAGGAUACAAUCACGGUCCAUUUGGCACAUAGACCCCAGCAGGCGACUUUUGCAGAUACAGUUUUAUGAUGUCUCUGCUGAUAUGAUCACGUCAGAGCUGGAGAGAAGAUUGAUGCUGUAUCUUUAAGAUUUCCAAGGAUUUGGAGCAUGUAGAUGUCACUUUAAAAGCACUGUCAUUUCCCG
This 388-nucleotide long non-coding RNA is filed under the name Phasianus colchicus (ring-necked pheasant). RNAcentral's name for it is "lncRNA (ENSPCLG00000000967.1)". Lineage: Eukaryota; Metazoa; Chordata; Aves; Galliformes; Phasianidae. The record is from RNAcentral.